UUACUUACCUAGCAGGGGAGAGACCAUAAUCCUGAAGGUGUUUUUCCCAGGGUGAGGCUUAACCACUGCACUCCGGAUGUGCUGACGCCUACAAUUUUCCUGAAUCUGGGAUUUGUGGUAGUGGUGGCCUUUGUUCUCACUCUCCCUUG
Molecule: small nuclear RNA, 149 nt
Filed under: Sorex araneus (European shrew)
Lineage: Eukaryota; Metazoa; Chordata; Mammalia; Eulipotyphla; Soricidae
Description: U1 spliceosomal RNA (ENSSARG00000016306.1)
Rfam family: U1 spliceosomal RNA
About the family: U1 is a small nuclear RNA (snRNA) component of the spliceosome (involved in pre-mRNA splicing).
Source: RNAcentral